Molecule: non-coding RNA, 197 nt
Organism: Tinamus guttatus (white-throated tinamou)
Lineage: Eukaryota; Metazoa; Chordata; Aves; Tinamiformes; Tinamidae
Source: RefSeq, a predicted model, not a curated record
UUUGGGUUUUAAUGUUUGAUUUUACUUUAUUGUAGAUGCAUUUUAAUUGGAAAUAAUAUUCUUAAAGUCUGAGUGCAGAAGACCAGCUUAUACAAUGGUGGAGUCUGGAGCUGUCUCUAAUUCUUGCAUGGUUGGCGAGCAAAGAUGAUACCCUCCCUCCUAGCAAACGGCUUCAAGUUGCAAGAAAUCUUCCCAAA